AUGACUAACACACACCGGGUGGGGAUAGCCAACGGGGCUGCUGAUGCACCUCGCGUCGCCGGAAGUGACGACAUCACUGUGCUUAAUGAAGAUGUUUCUGACAUAUUCGGGCUAUGUAACGAGGGUGGUGAUGUGAUUAGCAUGAUAGCAACGGUACAACUAGACGCCAAAAAAUUUGUUCCGAAUCAGUUUCUAGACAAAAGAACAGGCCUAAUCCUGAUCGAUGACUUGAUAAAAAAUAUUGUUGAUAGUCAGUCAUAUGAUGAUGAUUUUGUGAGAAGGGCCGUACCGGUUCUUAUGGGUACAGUCUUAGCACCACAAUCCACCAAGUUUGUUCCUUACCGUUAUUACAAAAUGGUGGAGGACGUCAACGCUUUCAAGUCAUACAGUUGGAACGAUUUCACGUUGGGGUAUAUAUACUGGGAAAAACUUGAGCCAAUUGGUGUCGAUGCAUUUGAUCCUUUGUCUCGUGAAUACCCACUAAUGCUUAACUGGCCAGAAACGGAAGGGAAAAAGCGAGACGACUAUGACAACAUACACGGGCGGGGUACCGGCAAUAUUGAAAACUGCAUUAGCGAAGAGUACAGAUGUGCUAAGGUUGCACGUGAAGGGACUGUCCUAGAGGAAGAAACGAAGAAAACUAAACGGAAAGGUGGUGGCAGGAGUAGAAAGCCAAGCACGUCGGUGGUUUCAUCGAACACGAAUUAUAGUAUGGACCGUGUGAUGACAUACAUAAAGCUGCUUGACAAGGAGAUGGUAAUGGAAAGGUUGAACACAGAAGGUUUGAUGUACAAACCCAAUAAGAGGGACAACGUUGACGAAUUUGAUGAUGUAGGUGAAGGAGUUGGGAUGCAGAAUGGCAAGUACAAGUCAAAAUAUUGGCUAGAUGUUGAAUCACCUACCAACGUAAUGAUAGGAACAUCUUUCACGGGUGAAGCUAUUGAUCCUUUCAUUAUAGACGAUAAUGGAAACUCUCCAUCUUCGGCAUCAACUGUACGGACAAAAGAUUUUCCGUCUAUGUCCCGAACCCCGCAGAAUGCUGAUAUUUCUGGUGAGUCUAUGGGUGGUUUGUCACCAACAAAGUCCGAAGAAACGUUUGAGAGUUUCCCGGCAAAGAGCAACGUAGCUAAUGGUGAUGGCAGUCAGGACAAUGAAGGUAAACGCAAACGAAAUCCUUCGAAAUGUUGUCAAUCCCCCUAG
This 1200-nucleotide ribosomal RNA is filed under the name Triticum aestivum (bread wheat). Its description in RNAcentral is "partial small subunit ribosomal RNA". Lineage: Eukaryota; Viridiplantae; Streptophyta; Magnoliopsida; Poales; Poaceae. The record is from RNAcentral.